RNAcentral lists this long non-coding RNA (370 nucleotides) under Zostera marina. RNAcentral's name for it is "long non-coding RNA (ZMAR_LNC000755)". Lineage: Eukaryota; Viridiplantae; Streptophyta; Magnoliopsida; Alismatales; Zosteraceae. The record is from RNAcentral.
CAAUUUCCGAAAACCCCUCCCAAUCUCCGGCUCCUUCGGGAGAAUUCUUUUCCAACCUCCAGCUCCGGUCCCUCUGGGAGAAUUCUGUGCGUGUGUGCUAUCGUCGGUACUGCUCGUAACAAAGAGCUGAUUCCAUGGAGUAUAUAUAACUCACAAUCCAGAGAGAGGUUCGUUUCUUGCGGACAAGUUCAAUAUUGCCUGUACUUUUGUUAAGUUUCAUACACAAUAUUGCUUUCCUAAUGUAGUAAACUAAGACCAAUUAAUUGAUAAUGGUGUAAACUAAAUUAAUGCAAUAUUGAUUUGGAAACUUAUAACCACAUGAUCGACAACAAUCGUCUUGGAAUCGUAAUAGAAAAACGUAUUACAAAGC